GAUGAACGCUAGCGGCAGGCCUAAUACAUGCAAGUCGAGGGGCAGCGCGGUAGCAAUACUGGCGGCGACCGGCGCACGGGUGCGUAAUACGUAUGCAACCUACCUUCAACUGGAGGAUAGCCCGGGGAAACUCGGAUUAAUACUCCAUAACACAGGGAUCCCGCAUGGGAAUAUUGUUAAAGCUACGGCGGUUGAAGAUGGGCAUGCGUUCGAUUAGCUAGUUGGUGUAGGUAACGGCUCACCAAGGCUACGAUCGAUAGGGGGUCUGAGAGGAUGAUCCCCCACACUGGUACUGAGAUACGGACCAGACUCCUACGGGAGCAGCAGUAGGGAAUAUUGGUCAAUGGGCGCAAGCCUGAACCAGCCAUGCCGCGUGCAGGAAGAAGGCCCUCUGGGUUGUAAACUGCUUUUGAUAGGGAACAAAUGCCACUUGCAGUGGAGCUGAGUGUACCUAUAGAAUAAGCACCGGCUAACUCCGUAGCCAGCAGCCGACGG
This 495-nucleotide ribosomal RNA is filed under the name uncultured bacterium. Its description in RNAcentral is "bacterial SSU rRNA". It matches the Rfam family "Bacterial small subunit ribosomal RNA", at positions 28 to 520 of the family's 1533-position model. The record is from RNAcentral.